AAUGAAAUGCCUGAUAAAAGGAUUACUUUGAUAGAGUAAAUCAUGUAGGGUUCCUACUUUCAUUA
Molecule: transfer RNA, 65 nt
Filed under: Epeorus herklotsi
Lineage: Eukaryota; Metazoa; Arthropoda; Insecta; Ephemeroptera; Heptageniidae
Also listed under: 2 other names
Description: tRNA-Ile
Source: RNAcentral